AGUGAACGCUGGCGGUAGGCCUAACACAUGCAAGUCGAACGGCAGCACAGUAAGAGCUUGCUCUUACGGGUGGCGAGUGGCGGACGGGUGAGGAAUACAUCGGAAUCUACUUUUUCGUGGGGGAUAACGUAGGGAAACUUACGCUAAUACCGCAUACGACCUACGGGUGAAAGCAGGGGAUCUUCGGACCUUGCGCGAUUGAAUGAGCCGAUGUCGGAUUAGCUAGUUGGCGGGGUAAAGGCCCACCAAGGCGACGAUCCGUAGCUGGUCUGAGAGGAUGAUAAGCCACACUGGAACUGAGACACGGUCCAGACGCCUACGGGAGGCAGCAGUGGGGAAUAUUAGACAAUGGGCGCAAGCCUGAUCCAGACAGACCGCGUGGGUGAAGAAGGCAUUCGGGUUGGAAAGCCCUUUUGUUGGGAAAGAAAAGCAGCAGGUUAAUACCCAGCGGUUCUGACGGUACCGAAAGAAUAAGCACCGGCUAACUUCGUG
Molecule: ribosomal RNA, 492 nt
Filed under: uncultured bacterium
Lineage: Bacteria
Description: partial 16S ribosomal RNA
Rfam family: Bacterial small subunit ribosomal RNA
Source: RNAcentral